Molecule: long non-coding RNA, 1022 nt
Organism: Cyprinus carpio (common carp)
Lineage: Eukaryota; Metazoa; Chordata; Actinopteri; Cypriniformes; Cyprinidae
Exons: 3
Source: RefSeq, a predicted model, not a curated record
AGUGCAUUGAACGCUUCCGCUUUGGAAAUCCACACAGUCGAGAAGAAAGAUGCCUUCAGGUAAAUGAGGGAGAAGAUGACCAUCUGUUUUGGUGGAUGCGCACAUCCCCUCCAUCCAGUUCAACACCAACACAACCAUCAGAGAAAUAUAGCAGAGAUAUUAUCUGAAUCAUCCCACUGUGAUCAAGAAGAACCAGAGAUACUGCAGCUACAAGAGAGGCCCAGCCGUUUACUGCAGAGGAGUGAGCAUUCACUCAGCAGUGGCUCUGUGCCAGAUCUGGGGGUCUGGGCUGCUCUGAUUUCUCUUCCCCCGUAAGCACCGAUGAGCCGGUCCGAAGACCGUGUCCACCUUAAUGGUCUCAACCAACAGUAAGUAAUAGGUGUAACACAUAAAUUACUGUACAUAUUUACUGUACAUCUUGUAACACACACACACCCUAUUUAUCUUUUCCUGAACAUCUUUGUGUUUCCGAUUUCAAAAAACACACCCUUAUCAGAUUAAAGUGUACCCACACCUCUGACCUCAAAUGCAAAAAAAAAGCAAAAAUGGUUGUGUAAACAUUCUCCAUUAACUAAAACCAAACAGAAAAGGAUAUAAAUGCCAUUUUGGCUUGCUAGGUAAUUAUAAUAGUGCAAUAAAAGUGCAUUAGAGCAUUUUGUUUGUUUGUUUUUGUGUCUUUAAGUGUUUCUAGAGCCUAGUUUGUGUGAGGAAAUGUCUUUUAUUCUUCUUGCGGUUGGUUCUGAGGGGUCCGGUGUCUGGUGUGAAGAUGACAUCCUGUUUUAGUGGCGACUAAGAAGGAAGAUGGAACAGGCCAGACAAUGGUGUCAGGAGGCCCCUUUCCAUAAUUCUGUUCUCCAUAUACCUCUAUCACACAGUGUCAGACAAAACCAGGUGAACCAACACCACAGUGCACAUCAGGGUUAUUCCUUUUUGAUUAAUAUGUGCCCAAAAGUUAAAUGUUUCAGAAUAUAUAAAAUAAUAUUAUAUUAUAUCCUAUGAUAUAAUAUAAUUUUCAAACGUUU